UGGGCAUCUGUUGUAGGGGCAAGAGUGA
RNAcentral lists this non-coding RNA (28 nucleotides) under Callithrix jacchus (white-tufted-ear marmoset). RNAcentral also lists the same sequence under 2 other names. Lineage: Eukaryota; Metazoa; Chordata; Mammalia; Primates; Cebidae. The record is from RNAcentral.